UACGGAGGGUGCGAGCGUUAUCCGGAUUUAUUGGGUUUAAAGGGUGCGUAGGCGGCUUAGUAAGUCAGCGGUGAAAUUUUGCAGCUUAACUGUAACAGUGCCGUUGAUACUGCAUGGCUAGGAUUUGGUUGCUGUGGGUGGAAUGUGUGGUGUAGCGGUGAAAUGCUUAGAUAUCACACAGAAUAUCAAUUGCGAAGGCAGCUCACAAAGCCAAGAUUGACGCUGAGGCACGAAAGUGUGGGGAUCAAACA
This 251-nucleotide ribosomal RNA is filed under the name uncultured prokaryote. RNAcentral's name for it is "partial 16S ribosomal RNA". It matches the Rfam family "Bacterial small subunit ribosomal RNA", at positions 524 to 774 of the family's 1533-position model. The record is from RNAcentral.